GAUUCCCCUAGUAACUGCGAGUGAAGCGGGAAAAGCUCAAAUUUGAAAUCUGGCAGUUUUUAACUGUCCGAGUUGUAAUCUAGAGAAGUGUUACCUGUGCUGGACCAUGUACAAGUCUUCUGGAAUGAAGCAUCAUAGAGGGUGAGAAUCCCGUCUUUGACAUGGACUACCAGUGCAUUAUGGUAUGCUCUCAAAGAGUCGAGUUGUUUGGGAAUGCAGCUCAAAAUGGGUGGUAAAUGCCAUCUAAAGCUAAAUAUUGGCGAGAGACCGAUAGCGAACAAGUACCGUGAGGGAAAGAUGAAAAGAACUUUGGAAAGAGAGUUAAACAGUACGUGAAAUUGCUGAAAGGGAAACGCUUGAAGUCAGUCUUGUUGGCUAGAAAUCAGCCUUGCUCUUGCUUGGUUUACUUUCUGGUUGACAGGUCAGCAUCAAUUUUGACCAUUGGAUAAAGACAGUAGGAAUGUGGCAUCUUUGGAUGUGUUAUAGCCUAUUGUUGCAUACAGUGAUUGGGAUUGAGGAACUCAGCACGCCGCAAGGCCAGGUUUUUAACCAUGUUCGUGCUUAGGAUGCUGGCAUAAUGGCUUUAAUCGACCCGUCUUGAAACACGGACCAAGGAGUCUAACAUGCCUGCAAGUGUUUGGGUGGAAAACCCAUAUGCACAAUGAAAGUGAAAGUUGAGAUCCCUUCAAGGGAGCAUUGACGCCCAGACCAGACCUUUUGUGACGGAUCUGCGGUAGAGCAUGUAUGUUGGGACCCGAAAGAUGGUGAACUAUGCCUGAAUAGGGUGAAGCCAGAGGAAACUCUGGUGGAGGCUCGUAGCGAUUCUGACGUGCAAAUCGAUCGUCAAAUUUGGGUAUAGGGGCGAAAGACUAAUCGAACCAUCUAGUAGCUGGUUCCUG
This 899-nucleotide ribosomal RNA is filed under the name Inocybe pingala. Its description in RNAcentral is "LSU rRNA". It matches the Rfam family "Eukaryotic large subunit ribosomal RNA", at positions 73 to 960 of the family's 3401-position model. The record is from RNAcentral. Lineage: Eukaryota; Fungi; Basidiomycota; Agaricomycetes; Agaricales; Inocybaceae.